This 218-nucleotide ribosomal RNA is filed under the name Trichoderma viride. Its description in RNAcentral is "partial 18S ribosomal RNA". It matches the Rfam family "Eukaryotic small subunit ribosomal RNA", at positions 174 to 398 of the family's 1831-position model. Lineage: Eukaryota; Fungi; Ascomycota; Sordariomycetes; Hypocreales; Hypocreaceae. The record is from RNAcentral.
UACAUCCCGACUUCGGAAGGGAUGUAUUUAUUAGAUUAAAAACCAAUGCCCCUCGGGGCUCUCUGGUGAAUCAUAAUAACUAGUCGAAUCGACAGGCCUUGUGCCGGCGAUGGCUCAUUCAAAUUUCUUCCCUAUCAACUUUCGAUGUUUGGGUAUUGGCCAAACAUGGUGGCAACGGGUAACGGAGGGUUAGGGCUCGACCCCGGAUAAGGAGCCUG